GACGAACGCUGGCGGCGUGCCUAACACAUGCAAGUCGAACGGAACUGUUUUGAAAGAUUUCUUCGGAAUGAAUUUGAUUUAGUUUAGUGGCGGACGGGUGAGUAACGCGUGAGUAACCUGCCUUCAAGAGGGGGAUAACAUUCUGAAAAGAAUGCUAAUACCGCAUGACAUAUCGGAAUCACAUGAUUUUGAUAUCAAAGAUUUUAUCGCUUGAAAAUGGACUCGCGUCCGAUUAGUUAGUUGGUGAGGUAACGGCUCACCAAGACCGCGAUCGGUAGCCGGACUGAGAGGUUGAACGGCCACAUUGGGACUGAGACACGGCCCAGACUCCUACGGGAGGCAGCAGUGGGGGAUAUUGCGCAAUGGGGGCAACCCUGACGCAGCAACGCCGCGUGAAGGAUGAAGGUUUUCGGAUUGUAAACUUCUUUUAU
Molecule: ribosomal RNA, 431 nt
Filed under: uncultured bacterium
Lineage: Bacteria
Description: bacterial SSU rRNA
Rfam family: Bacterial small subunit ribosomal RNA
Source: RNAcentral